RNA transcript from Musa acuminata AAA Group (dessert banana), 3247 nucleotides. It is a transcript of the gene named 1-aminocyclopropane-1-carboxylate synthase 6, with no coding region annotated. The record is from RefSeq and is a predicted model, not a curated record. NCBI's taxonomy places the organism in Eukaryota, Viridiplantae, Streptophyta, Magnoliopsida, Zingiberales, Musaceae. The transcript is spliced from 6 exons.
GGACCUCUCUCACGUCCACCACCGCACGUCCCAGAUCUCCUUCCUCGUGUGGCCACUCCCACCAAAACAUCCCCUCAAACCCUCACACUGCCCUCCUCAGCUCCCUCCUUUACCUCCUCCUUAAAGCACAACCACAUUCAAGCAGAAGAAUUGUUAUAAAAGAGUGUGGCCAACGGCGACGCUUCCUUCUAUGUUUACAAAUACAAUGCAAACCAACAAGGUAUAAAAUAAUCUCGCCCCUCUUCCUCCCGUCGAUGAGCCCAACCCCCUCCAAGAAAUCCGCCGACGCCGCCGCAGCCGCAGCUACAGCGACCCAAGCCCGGUCGUCCGCAACCGGCCUCGGCGGUGGAGGGGGCGGCGCGGGCAUGCGGCUCAUCGUACCUCUCCAGGGCGUCGUCCAGGGUCGCGGCGGCCUCGUCCUCGGCACCCUCAUCCCCUGCGCCCUCUUCUACUUCCUCCAGUUCUACCUCAGGCGCAACCGCUCUCCUCCUCCUACUUCGCCGCAACCCCCCGCUGCCAACGGCCCCGAUCUCCCCGGCAUCGUCCGGUCCUCCUCCCGCAACUUCCUCUCCGCCCGCGGCUCCUCCGGCCACGCCGCCGUCUCCUCCCGCGCGGCCUCGAUCGCCAGAUCCGGCGAUUCGCCUUACUUCGUCGGGACUAAGAAGUGCUCCGAGGACCCUUACCAUCCCGUCGAUAACCCCGACGGCGUCAUACAGCUUGGGUUGGCCGAGAACCGCUUGUCUUUGGAUCUAAUUGGGGACUGGCUUGCGAGAAAUGUGACGAAUACCCUACUCGACGAGCGGCAGGGUGGGCUGAGCAUCAGCGGAUUGGCGACGUACCAGCCUUUUGAUGGGUUGGUGGAAUUGAAGAUGGCUGUGGCUGAAUUUAUGGGACAAGUCAUGCAAGGGUCAGUCUCGUUUGAUCCAUCGCAAAUAAUAAUGACAGCUGGCGCAACUCCAGCAAUUGAAAUUCUCAGUUUCUGCCUGGCAGAUGCUGGAAAUGCAUUUCUUGUUCCUUCACCGUAUUACCCAGGGUACGACAGGAAUAUAAGAUGGCGAGCUGGCAUAGAGUUGAUACCCGUUCCAUGUCGAAGCACUGACAACUUUGGUUUAAGUAUUCCUGCACUCGAAAGAGCAUACAAUCAGGCAAAAAUGCGAGGUGUCAAAGUGCGAGCUGUUCUUUUCUCAAACCCCUCCAACCCUGUGGGCAAUCUUCUGCACAGGGAAACAUUACGAGACCUUCUUGACUUUGUUACGGAGAAGGGCAUUCAUGUCAUUGCUGAUGAAGUGUUCGCAGGGUCAACCCAUGGUACUGAAGAUUUUGUGAGCAUGGCGGAAGUUUUAAACACAGAUGAGUUUGAUAGAAGCAGGGUUCACAUAGUAUAUGGCUUGUCAAAAGAUCUCUCCGUCCCAGGCUUUCGGAUCGGUCUCAUCUACUCUUUUAACGAACAUGUCAUUGCGGCUGCCUCGAAGCUGGCAAGGUUCUCCUCCGUUUCUGUUCCAACCCAGCACUUGCUCAUCUCGAUGCUUAAUGACACUAAGUUCAUCACACAAUAUAUCAAGACGAACAGAGAGAGACUCCGAGUAAUGUAUGCAUUGUUAGUGAAUGGCCUUAAACAGUUAGGUGUUGAGAGUGUCAAAAGCAGUGGUGGUUUUUACUGUUGGACGGAUAUGAGCAAAUUUAUGAAAUCAUACAGUGAGAAAGGGGAGCUUGAGCUAUGGAAGGAGAUGCUUAAUGUAGCUAAGAUUCAUUUGACACCUGGAACGGCAUGCCAUUGCAUUGAACCUGGAUGGUUUCGUUUAUGCUUCACAACAUUGACUGAGAAGGAUGUGCCUGUAGUUUUGGAACGCAUCAAGAGAGUUGUUGAUAACCAUUGAGUCUACUAAAGCAGAAAGGUAGAGGUCUUUGGUACAAAUAUGUUCAUAAGGCUGGAAAGUCGAUCACAUCGAGUCUCUUUCAGUAGUCUCGUAUCCUCUCCAGGGUUGUCAUCAAUUUUGGUAGUGUAGGCUUCGCUUCAUGCUUCUCUUAUCCUUGCUGAUGUAACUACAUCAAGGUGCACCACUACUCGUGCAGAGACCUCCGCUUGGUGAAGAGAUUUCUUUUCACUUACCAGCUGCUAAUAUAUGCUCUCAUCUUGUUACCAUUUGCAAUGAACGGAAAGCAUGUAAGCACCCUCUUCUUUAGGUAAUCCUGUGAUGGACAAAUUGGUUUAGAAUGUUUAUUAGCCUACACGCAAUGGAUCAUUUUGGCAAGUUAAUGCACCCAUUGCACUCUCCAAGGAUGAUGGAUGGAUAUACUACAAGCAAUCAUUUACCUUUGGGUGCUCUCUCUUCCUGCCUUCGUUUUGCUUCCUUCUGCAGCUUAGCUUGCGACUCAGCAGUAUGAGCUCCCCGAGUGUCAGCCCCCUCCUUGCCAUGCCUGCGUGUUCGCUGCUGCAAUGGUUUGGGCCACGGCGAGCAGCCACAGCAGAUGGAGCUUCGUCUUCCCCGCUGGGCAGCGGGAAAAGGAACUGAAUCACCGAAGUGUCUGUGCCCACCUCCGCUGCCUCUGAGCUGCUGUGCCCAUCCGUUCCCGAUACAGAGUGCCAGUCCUCGUUCCGGUAGGAGCCGUUCUCGCUAAAGCUCUCCCACGCAGCAGUCACAUCAGCGAAAGACAGGUCUGCAUUGUCGUCCAUCUUGAAAGAAAAGGCUUCGAGGUGACAGCUCGACGCAGGACGAGGAUCCAACCCAUUCAGAUCGCCGGCAGUCAACAAGUCCGGCACGGUGGGAGGAAUCUGGAUUGGCUUCCCGGGCUUCUCUUCCCAUUCGAAGGGGACGGAAACCACGAGUCUCGUCGGCGGCGAAGACGAGAUCACGGGGACUCUCUUCGGUACGCCGGGUUUCUCUUCCCAAAGAUACGGGACGGUGAUCUGCUGCUUCUCUCGCUGCCGAGGACGCGACGCAGAGGACUCCUCACUCUCCUCCGCCAUGGUCGGUAGGUUCGAAAACUCGUUGCAUGCUCGUCCACGCCGUGGACACGAGUAGAUAUAGGAAAAGCUUUGUUGGAUUCGACGAAGCUGUUCCACGAUCGAAAUGUUCUCGCUCAACUGUACCAAUUGGCGUGGCCAUAGCCAUCGCAGACCCAACCCACUUUCCCACCUGCCCAAAUUAACAUUUACGAAACUAAAAAAGGGCAAGAUUUCAAGUAGGAUUAGUUAUAUAUCGAUCGAUGUUGGAUCAUAUAAAUUCAUAUUCAUUAUUUUCUUAAA